This 585-nucleotide ribosomal RNA is filed under the name proteobacterium StTD732. Its description in RNAcentral is "bacterial SSU rRNA". It matches the Rfam family "Bacterial small subunit ribosomal RNA", at positions 102 to 683 of the family's 1533-position model. The record is from RNAcentral. Lineage: Bacteria; Pseudomonadati; Pseudomonadota.
ACGGGUGAGUAAUACAUCGGAACGUGCCCAGUAGUGGGGGAUAGCCCGGCGAAAGCCGGAUUAAUACCGCAUACGACCUACGGGUGAAAGCGGGGGAUCGCAAGACCUCGCGCUAUUGGAGCGGCCGAUGUCAGAUUAGCUAGUUGGUGGGGUAAAAGCCUACCAAGGCGACGAUCUGUAGCUGGUCUGAGAGGACGACCAGCCACACUGGGACUGAGACACGGCCCAGACUCCUACGGGAGGCAGCAGUGGGGAAUUUUGGACAAUGGGCGCAAGCCUGAUCCAGCCAUGCCGCGUGCGGGAAGAAGGCCUUCGGGUUGUAAACCGCUUUUGUCAGGGAAGAAACGGCCUGAUCUAAUAAAUCGGGCUAAUGACGGUACCUGAAGAAUAAGCACCGGCUAACUACGUGCCAGCAGCCGCGGUAAUACGUAGGGUGCAAGCGUUAAUCGGAAUUACUGGGCGUAAAGCGUGCGCAGGCGGCUUUGCAAGACAGAUGUGAAAUCCCCGGGCUUAACCUGGGAACUGCAUUUGUGACUGCAUGGCUAGAGUGCGGCAGAGGGGGAUGGAAUUCCGCGUGUAGCAGUG